UCCAGACUCCUACGGGAGGCAGCAGUGGGGAAUAUUGGGCAAUGGGCGCAAGCCUGACCCAGCAACGCCGCGUGAAGGAAGAAGGCUUUCGGGUUGUAAACUUCUUUUCUCAGGGACGAAGAAAGUGACGGUACCUGAGGAAUAAGCCACGGCUAACUACGUGCCAGCAGCCGCGGUAAUACGUAGGUGGCAAGCGUUAUCCGGAUUUACUGGGUGUAAAGGGCGUGUAGGCGGGACUGCAAGUCAGAUGUGAAAACCAUGGGCUCAACCUGUGGCCUGCAUUUGAAACUGUAGUUCUUGAGUACUGGAGAGGCAGACGGAAUUCCUAGUGUAGCGGUGAAAUGCGUAGAUAUCAGGAGGAACACCGGCGGCGAGGGCGGCCUGCUGGACCGUGACUGACGUUGGGGCUCGAGAGCGUGGGGAGCAAACAGGAUUAGAUACCCCGGUA
Molecule: ribosomal RNA, 448 nt
Filed under: uncultured bacterium
Lineage: Bacteria
Description: bacterial SSU rRNA
Rfam family: Bacterial small subunit ribosomal RNA
Source: RNAcentral